Molecule: long non-coding RNA, 990 nt
Filed under: Homo sapiens (human)
Lineage: Eukaryota; Metazoa; Chordata; Mammalia; Primates; Hominidae
Description: PREDICTED lncRNA (TCONS_00107453)
Rfam family: Small nucleolar RNA SNORD49 (bases 140-213)
Source: RNAcentral
GAGGAUUGGGAUAUUCCGACUCCUUAAGGGCCUGGCGCACAUAAGGUGUGACCUUUUCAUUCCCGUUGUUAUGGAGGGCCACAUCUGCCAGAGCCUGGAGUCUGCGAAGGCCGGGACCCGGUUCCCCGGCCCACAGUGGGGGUGUGCAAACCCGAGAGAACUGGGAAGUGCCGUCAGAAGCGAUAACUGACGACGUCUAAUGUCUAUCUGACCGCAGUCGCUGAAACCUCUACAACUUAGUUGACCGUAACUGCCAGAGCCCUGCCCUGAAUUCCUGUCCUUACUCCCUCUUUAAGAUUGCGUACCCACUGCAGAGUGCUGAAGACGGGGUAGCCACGAGGUUGCAAAUUCGUGAAGAAUCAGCAUCAUGUUUGGCAGCUGAGUAUUGGAGCCAGGAGCCUGCCAUGAGGUUUUGAGAACAGAGUGCUGUUUUAGAGCUGGCAGCAGCAUCUCAGCCCAAGAGAAGCCGAUGCAGCCUCAGUGUUCCUUUGCCUUGGGGGUUUCUGAGUGGUGGGGUUGUAAGCAGAUCCUGCCAGGCACCCAGAAGGAAACCUCAUCAGGACUCCCUCAGAAAGGCCCUGAAGAAUCCUGUGACCUUCAUCUAAAGUAGGUCAUGAGACCCCUGAGCUUAAAACGGAGUGAUCGGCUUUGGAGAAGCAUGACUCCACAGUUUCUGCAACAACAGAGCCGGGGAAAGGAGGACGCAGCAAGCGCUGAAUAUUAACCAGCAAAGGUGAUCUGCCUGCCUCAGCUUCCCAAAGUGCUGGGAUUACAGGAGUGAGCCGCUGUGCCUGGCCUCCCAUUUUCUAAAAGAGUCUAAUUCCAGUCCAAAGUCCCUCCCUGCUCCGUGUGCCCAUUACCUUCAGAGAGCCCUCUUCUGGUCCUGGCUCAUGGACUGGCCUCUCCCUAAGACAUGCGACACCAAAGCCAUUUCUAUUCGCCUCGCCCUGCUGGACCUUUUCUGGAGAGAUGGGAAUUCUUGGAACAGGU